GACGAACGCUGGCGGCGUGCUUAACACAUGCAAGUCGAACGGAAAGGCCCUGCUUGCAGGGUACUCGAGUGGCGAACGGGUGAGUAACACGUUGGUGAUCUGCCCUGCACUUCGGGAUAAGCCUGGGAAACUGGGUCUAAUACCGGAUAGGAGCCAUUUUUAGUGUGAUGGUUGGAAAGUUUUUUCGGUGUAGGAUGAGCUCGCGGCCUAUCAGCUUGUUGGUGGGGUAAUGGCCUACAAAGGCGGCGACGGGUAGCCGGCCUGAGAGGGUGGACGGGCAAAUGGGGACUGGGAGACGGCCCAGAAUACUACGGGAGGCAGCAGUGGGGAAUAUUGCACAAUGGGAGCAAGCCUGAUGCAGAGACGCCGCGUGGGGGAUGACGGCCUUCGGGUUGUAAACUCCUUUCGCUAGGGACGAAGCUUUUGUGACGGUACCUAGAUAAGAAGCACCGGCUAACUACGUG
RNAcentral lists this ribosomal RNA (464 nucleotides) under uncultured bacterium. RNAcentral describes it as "partial 16S ribosomal RNA". It matches the Rfam family "Bacterial small subunit ribosomal RNA", at positions 28 to 507 of the family's 1533-position model. The record is from RNAcentral.